RNAcentral lists this ribosomal RNA (305 nucleotides) under uncultured bacterium. Its description in RNAcentral is "bacterial SSU rRNA". It matches the Rfam family "Bacterial small subunit ribosomal RNA", at positions 337 to 639 of the family's 1533-position model. The record is from RNAcentral.
CCCUACGGGGCGCAGCAGUGAGGAAUAUUGGUCAAUGGGCGGGAGCCUGAACCAGCCAAGUCGCGUGAGGGAAGACGGUCCUAUGGAUUGUAAACCUCUUUAGGCGGGGAGCAAUGCCGGGCACGCGUGUCCGGAGGGAGAGUACCCGCAGAAUAAGCAUCGGCUAACUCCGUGCCAGCAGCCGCGGUAAUACGGAGGAUGCGAGCGUUAUCCGGAUUUAUUGGGUUUAAAGGGUGCGUAGGCGGAUUUUUAAGUCAGCGGUAAAAUGUCCGGGCUCAACUCGGGCCGGCCGUUGAAACUGGGGG